RNAcentral lists this non-coding RNA (134 nucleotides) under Comamonadaceae bacterium. Its description in RNAcentral is "Glycine sequence". It matches the Rfam family "Glycine riboswitch aptamer". Rfam says of the family: This family represents the bacterial glycine riboswitch. Glycine riboswitches usually consist of two metabolite-binding aptamers domains with similar structures in tandem. The aptamers cooperatively bind glycine to regulate the expression of downstream genes. The record is from RNAcentral. Lineage: Bacteria; Pseudomonadati; Pseudomonadota; Betaproteobacteria; Burkholderiales; Comamonadaceae.
CGAUUCCCCACUGGAGAGAGGUCGGCCCCGGCGCUUGGCGCUAUAGCAGAUCCACCGAAGGAGCAACCCAAAACCAGCGCCUCAUGCGACUGGUGGCGGCGAAUCUCUCAGGUAAAGCGGACAGCGGGGGCAGC